This 642-nucleotide ribosomal RNA is filed under the name Acinetobacter calcoaceticus. Its description in RNAcentral is "bacterial SSU rRNA". It matches the Rfam family "Bacterial small subunit ribosomal RNA", at positions 555 to 1197 of the family's 1533-position model. Lineage: Bacteria; Pseudomonadati; Pseudomonadota; Gammaproteobacteria; Moraxellales; Moraxellaceae. The record is from RNAcentral.
UGGGCGUAAGCGCGCGUAGGCGGCUUCUUAAGUCUGAUGUGAAAUCCCCCACCUUUACUUGGGAAUUGCAUUCGAUACUGGUUAGCUAGAGUGCCUUAGAGGAUGGUAGAAUUCCAGGUGUAGCGGUGAAAUGCGUAGAGAUCUGGAGGAAUACCGAUGGCGAAGGCAGCCCUCUGGUCUAACACUGACGCUGAGGUGCGAAAGCAUGGGGAGCAAACAGGAUUAGAUACCCUGGUAGUCCAUGCCGUAAACGAUGUCUACUAGCCGUUGGGGCCUUUGAGGCUUUAGUGGCGCAGCUAACGCGAUAAGUAGACCGCCUGGGGAGUACGGUCGCAAGACUAAAACUCAAAUGAAUUGACGGGGGCCCGCACAAGCGGUGGAGCAUGUGGUUUAAUUCGAUGUUACGCGAAGAACCUUACCUGGCCUUGACAUAGUGAGAACUUUCCAGAGAUGGAUUGGUGCCUUCGGGAACUUACAUACAGGUGCUGCAUGGCUGUCGUCAGCUCGUGUCGUGAGAUGUUGGGUUAAGUCCCGCAACGAGCGCAACCCUUUUCCUUAUUUGCCAGCGAGUAAUGUCGGGAACUUUCAGGAUACUGCCAGUGACAAACUGGAGGAAGGCGGGGACGACGUCUAGUCAUCGUG